Molecule: small nuclear RNA, 105 nt
Filed under: Brassica napus (rape)
Lineage: Eukaryota; Viridiplantae; Streptophyta; Magnoliopsida; Brassicales; Brassicaceae
Source: RNAcentral
UGGAAAUAUAGUCCGUUUGGGGAUAUCCGAUACGAUAUAGAGAAUAUUAGCAUGCCUUUGAGCAAGGAUGACACGCACAAAUCAAAAAAUGGUUAAAAAAUAUUU